This 818-nucleotide ribosomal RNA is filed under the name Melanconium hedericola. RNAcentral's name for it is "LSU rRNA". It matches the Rfam family "Eukaryotic large subunit ribosomal RNA", at positions 36 to 885 of the family's 3401-position model. Lineage: Eukaryota; Fungi; Ascomycota; Sordariomycetes; Diaporthales; Melanconidaceae. The record is from RNAcentral.
UAGCAUAUCAAUAAGCGGAGGAAAAGAAACCAACAGGGAUUGCCCUAGUAACGGCGAGUGAAGCGGCAACAGCUCAAAUUUGAAAUCUGGCUUCGGCCCGUAGUUGUAAUUUGCAGAGGAUGUUUCUGGCGCGGUGCCUUCCGAGUUCCCUGGAACGGGACGCCACAGAGGGUGAGAGCCCCGUAUGGUCGGACACCAAGCCUGUGUGAAACUCCUUCGACGAGUCGAGUAGUUUGGGAAUGCUGCUCUAAAUGGGAGGUAAAUCUCUUCUAAAGCUAAAUACCGGCCAGAGACCGAUAGCGCACAAGUAGAGUGAUCGAAAGAUGAAAAGCACCUUGAAAAGGGGGUUAAAUAGUACGUGAAAUUGUUGAAAGGGAAGCAUUUAUGACCAGACUUGGGCCGGGCGGCUCAUCAGGGGUUCUCCCCUGUGCAUUCCGCCCGGCACAGGCCAGCAUCGGUUUUCGCGGGGGGAUAAGACCGUCAGGAACGUAGCACCCUCCGGGGUGUGUUAUAGCCUGGCGGACGAUACUCCCGCGGGGACCGAGGUUCGCGCUCCGCAAGGAUGCUGGCGUAAUGGUCAUCAGUGACCCGUCUUGAAACACGGACCAAGGAGUCGUCCAUUAGAGCGAGCGUUUGGGUGUAAAACCCGCACGCGUAAUGAAAGUGAACGCAGGUGAGAGCUUCGGCGCAUCAUCGACCGAUCCUGAUGUUCUCGGAAGGAUUUGAGUAAGAGUUUUAACGGACGGACCCGAAAGACAGUGAACUAUGCUUGUAUAGGGUGAAGCCAGAGGAAACUCUGGUGGAGGCUCGCAGCGGUU